Small nucleolar RNA from Acomys russatus (golden spiny mouse), 81 nucleotides. RefSeq annotates it as small nucleolar RNA SNORD121A. The record is from RefSeq and is a predicted model, not a curated record. NCBI's taxonomy places the organism in Eukaryota, Metazoa, Chordata, Mammalia, Rodentia, Muridae. The transcript has a single exon.
AUCCCGGAAACAAUGAUGCUGUGAUUUCCAAGCACAUAUCUGAUGAGUCCGUGUGGAAUUUAGCUACUGAGUUUCCUGGGC